GACGAACGCUGGCGGCGUGCUUAGCACAUGCAAGUCGAACGCUGAAGCUUGGUGCUUGCACUGGGUGGAUGAGUGGCGAACGGGUGAGUAAUACGUGAGUAACCUGCCCUUGACUCUGGGAUAAGCCUGGGAAACUGGGUCUAAUACUGGAUACGACAUGUCACCGCAUGGUGGUGUGUGGAAAGGGUUUUACUGGUUUUGGAUGGGCUCACGGCCUAUCAGCUUGUUGGUGGGGUAAUGGCUCACCAAGGCGACGACGGGUAGCCGGCCUGAGAGGGUGACCGGCCACACUGGGACUGAGACACGGCCCAGACUCCUACGGGAGGCAGCAGUGGGGAAUAUUGCACAAUGGGCGGAAGCCUGAUGCAGCGACGCCGCGUGAGGGAUGACGGCCUUCGGGUUGUAAACCGCUUUCAGCACGGAAGAAGCGAAAGUGACGGUACGUGCAGAAGAAGCGCCGGCUAACUACGUG
This 472-nucleotide ribosomal RNA is filed under the name uncultured bacterium. RNAcentral describes it as "partial 16S ribosomal RNA". It matches the Rfam family "Bacterial small subunit ribosomal RNA", at positions 28 to 507 of the family's 1533-position model. The record is from RNAcentral.